AUUAAACGCUGGCGGCAUGCCUUACACAUGCAAGUCGAACGGUAGCGCGGGGCAACCUGGCGACGAGUGGCGAACGGGUGAGUAAAGCAUCGGAACGUGCCCCGGAAUGGGGGAUAACGUAGCGAAAGUUACGCUAAUACCGCAUAUUCUGUGAGCAGGAAAGCAGGGGAUCGCAAGACCUUGCGUUCUGGGAGCGGCCGAUGUCGGAUUAGCUAGUUGGUGGGGUAAAGGCCUACCAAGGCGACGAUCCGUAGCGGGUCUGAGAGGAUGAUCCGCCACACUGGGACUGAGACACGGCCCAGACUCCUACGGGAGGCAGCAGUGGGGAAUUUUGGACAAUGGGCGGAAGCCUGAUCCAGCCAUGCCGCGUGAGUGAAGAAGGCCUC
This 386-nucleotide ribosomal RNA is filed under the name uncultured bacterium. RNAcentral's name for it is "bacterial SSU rRNA". It matches the Rfam family "Bacterial small subunit ribosomal RNA", at positions 29 to 418 of the family's 1533-position model. The record is from RNAcentral.